ACUUCACAUUGGUUUCGUUCUUUCUUGACUGUCAGAUGUGGGAGGCUACUAUAAUACACUGUUGGACUGAUUGGAUCCCUCAGUGAGAUACCACUCUAAUUAGCUAGAAUUCUAACCUUGAUGCCGUUAGCCGGCCCAGGAACAUUUUCAGGCGGGCAGUUUGACUGGGGCCGUCGCCUCCUAAAAAGUAACGGAGGCGUGCAAAGGUUCCUUCAGGCUGGUUGGAAAUCAGUCGUAGAGUGUAAAGGCAAAAAGGAGCUUGACUGUAAGACUGACGAGUCGAACAGGGACAAAAGUCGGCCUUAGUGAUCCGACGGUUCCGAGUGGAAGGGCUGUCGCUCAACGGAUAAAAGUUA
Molecule: ribosomal RNA, 356 nt
Filed under: Kumanoa amazonensis
Lineage: Eukaryota; Rhodophyta; Florideophyceae; Batrachospermales; Batrachospermaceae
Description: bacterial LSU rRNA
Rfam family: Bacterial large subunit ribosomal RNA
Source: RNAcentral